This 441-nucleotide ribosomal RNA is filed under the name uncultured bacterium. Its description in RNAcentral is "partial 16S ribosomal RNA". It matches the Rfam family "Bacterial small subunit ribosomal RNA", at positions 338 to 795 of the family's 1533-position model. The record is from RNAcentral.
CCUACGGGAGACAGCAGUGGGGAAUAUUGCGCAAUGGGGGAAACCCUGACGCAGCAACGCCGCGUGAGUGAAGAAGUAUCUCGGUAUGUAAAGCUCUAUCAGCGGGGAAGAAGGAAGACGGUACCCGACUAAGACGCACCGGCUAAAUACGUGACAGCAGCCCGGGUAACAUGUAGGGGGCGAGCGUUAUCCGGAUUUACUGGGUGUAAAGGGAGCGUAGACGGCGUCGAAAGUCUGAAGGGAAAGACCGUGGUUCAACCGCCGAACCACCGUUGAAACUGCGAGGCUGGAGUGCGGGAGAGGUAGGCGGAAUGCCUGGUGUAGCGGUGAAAUGCGUAGAUAUCACGCGGAACACCGGUGGCGAAGGCAGCUUACUGGACAGUGACUGACGUUGAGGCUCGAAAGCGUGGGGAGCGAACAGGAUUAGAUACCCCUGUAGUC